AUACGUAGGGUGCAAGCGUUAAUCGGAAUUACUGGGCGUAAAGCGUGCGCAGGCGGUUUUGUAAGAAAGUGGUGAAAUCCCCGGGCUCAACCUGGGAAAUGACAUUGUGACUGCAAGGCUGGAGUGCGGCAGAGGGGGAUGGAAUUUCGCGUGUAGCAGUGAAAUGCGUAGAUAUGCGGAGGAUCACCUAUGGCGAAGGCACUCACCUGCUCCUGCACUGACGCUCAUGCACCACAGCUUGAGUAGCUUACAGGAUUAGAUACCCUUGUAGUGGACGCCCUAAACGAUUUCAACUGGUUGUUGGAGAUUUAUUUUCUCAUUAACGAAGCUAAAGUGUUAAGUUGACCGCCUGGCGAGUACGGCCUCAAGGUUAAGGCUCAAAUGAAUUUACUGGU
Molecule: ribosomal RNA, 395 nt
Filed under: uncultured bacterium
Lineage: Bacteria
Description: partial 16S ribosomal RNA
Rfam family: Bacterial small subunit ribosomal RNA
Source: RNAcentral